ACGGCACACACUAGGGUCUCCGUCUCUCACACACACACACCACAAUGACGUCGUAAACAAUAGCACUAACCACCAUCGUCCGCAGCUCCCGCGUACAGAGGCCUCAGGCUCCCGGCUCCACGUGGACCGACCUCGCCCGGCAGCGCGGGGCCACCUCACCGCGAGCUCCUCCCGCAGCCCGGCCCGGGUCACCUCGACUCGCCAGGCUUAACUCAAUAACCACAACACCGGAAAAGGAAGCAAAGGUCGAAGUUCAUCCGCGGCCCUGAGGCCUGUGGGAAACGUAGUCCAACAACGAAAGAGCCCUGAAGCUCAAGCGGAGCCCGCUGGCCGCAGGGGCCGCACCACGCCCCAGACCCUGGAGUUUCCGGGUGCGCAGACCCUUGCCAUCAGCAGAGGCUGCCGCUGCGCGUCCCCUAGGCGCGGAAGAGGCGGCUGGUGGUCCCUGACGGCAAGGUGAAGUCGAGGCAGUAAUCGGGAACCCAGGUUUUAUACAUUACGAAUAAAGCUGGCACGUUUCCAUUUCUCCUGGGCAAAUAUUUAGAAGAAAAGUUGCUGGGUAAUUGAAGCACUGAGACCACAGAGGCAAGAGCUGGGGAAGGAAAACUGCCCAUGAGAUGAGAUGUGCCUCUCAGCUUCCAAAAUCGGGGAGAUGCCCCCCAUGGAAUCCAGCCAUCAUGCUGUGAGGAAUCCAAGCAGCUACAUAGAAAGGCCACAACUAGAUAUUCCAGCUGUAGUCAGCUGAAGCUCCAGCCAACAGCCAACAUCAACCACCACACGUGAAAACGAGCAAGCCUUCAGAUGAUUCCGACUCCCAACCUCCAAGCCACCUCAGCUGAAGCCAAGUAGAGCAGAGACUAGCUGUCCCCCAAUGCUCUAAUAUGCAGAUUCAUAAUUAAAAAGAAUGUUAUUGUUCUAAGCCAUGAA
Molecule: long non-coding RNA, 927 nt
Filed under: Homo sapiens (human)
Lineage: Eukaryota; Metazoa; Chordata; Mammalia; Primates; Hominidae
Description: non-protein coding ZNF529-AS1:2
Source: RNAcentral